UACGUAGGGCGCAAGCGUUGUCCGGAAUUAUUGGGCGUAAAGAGCUCGUAGGCGGUUUGUCGCGUCGGGAGUGAAAACUCAGGGCUUAACCCUGAGCCUGCUUCCGAUACGGGCAGACUAGAGGUAUGCAGGGGAGAACGGAAUUCCUGGUGUAGCGGUGAAAUGCGCAGAUAUCGGGAGGAACACCGGUGGCGAAGGCGAGUCUCUGGACAGCAACUGACGCUGAGGCACGAAGGCCAGGGGAGCAAAGCGGG
RNAcentral lists this ribosomal RNA (254 nucleotides) under uncultured bacterium. RNAcentral describes it as "partial 16S ribosomal RNA". It matches the Rfam family "Bacterial small subunit ribosomal RNA", at positions 524 to 777 of the family's 1533-position model. The record is from RNAcentral.